This 382-nucleotide ribosomal RNA is filed under the name uncultured archaeon. Its description in RNAcentral is "bacterial SSU rRNA". It matches the Rfam family "Archaeal small subunit ribosomal RNA", at positions 345 to 727 of the family's 1478-position model. The record is from RNAcentral.
AAACUUUACAAUGCGGGAAACCGUGAUAAGGGAACCUCGAGUGCCGAUGCAUAGCAUCGGCUGUCCAGAUGCCUAAAAAGCAUCUGAUAGCAAGGGCCGGGCAAGACCGGUGCCAGCCGCCGCGGUAACACCGGCGGCUCGAGUGGUGGCCACUUUUAUUGGGUCUAAAGCGUCCGUAGCCGGCUUGGCAAGUCCCCUGGGAAAUCUGGCGGCUUAACCGUCAGGCGUCCAGAGGAUACUGCCAGGCUUGGGACCGGGAGAGGUGAGAGGUACCUCAGGGGUAGGGGUGAAAUCUUGUGAUCCCUGAGGGACCACCAGUGGCGAAGGCGUCUCACUAGAACGGGUCCGACGGUCAGGGACGAAAGCUGGGGGCACGUACCGG